AGAAAGAUAAGCUAAUUUAAGCUAAUGGGUUCAUACCCCAAAAAUAGAGGAUUUAAUACUCUUCUUUCUA
Molecule: transfer RNA, 70 nt
Filed under: Tagasta indica
Lineage: Eukaryota; Metazoa; Arthropoda; Insecta; Orthoptera; Pyrgomorphidae
Description: tRNA-Met
Rfam family: tRNA
About the family: Transfer RNA (tRNA) molecules are approximately 80 nucleotides in length.
Source: RNAcentral